CCUACGGGAGGCAGCAGUGGGGAAUUUUCCGCAAUGGGCGAAAGCCUGACGGAGCAACGCCGCGUGAGGGAUGAAGGCCUCUGGGCUGUAAACCUCUUUUAUCAAGGAAGAAGAUCUGACGGUACUUGAUGAAUAAGCCACGGCUAAUUCCGUGCCAGCAGCCGCGGUAAUACGGGAGUGGCAAGCGUUAUCCGGAAUUAUUGGGCGUAAAGCGUCCGCAGGCGGUCUUGUAAGUCUGUCGUUAAAGCGUGGAGCUCAACUCCAUUUCGGCGGUGGAAACUACAAGACUAGAGUGUGGUAGGGGCAGAGGGAAUUCCCGGUGUAGCGGUGAAAUGCGUAGAUAUCGGGAAGAACACCAGUGGCGAAGGCGCUCUGCUGGGCCAUAACUGACGCUCAUGGACGAAAGCUAGGGGAGCGAAAGGGAUUAGAUACCCCUGUAGUCCUAGCCGUAAACGAUGAACACUAGGUGUCGGGGAAUCGACCCCCUCGGUGUCGUAGCUAACGCGUUAAGUGUUCCGCCUGGGGAGUACGCACGCAAGUGUGAACUUAGAAGUAGUAGCGUGAGAGUGCGACGACGACACAGGGAGAGG
RNAcentral lists this ribosomal RNA (590 nucleotides) under uncultured bacterium. RNAcentral's name for it is "bacterial SSU rRNA". It matches the Rfam family "Bacterial small subunit ribosomal RNA", at positions 338 to 944 of the family's 1533-position model. The record is from RNAcentral.